Long non-coding RNA from Gavialis gangeticus (Gharial), 999 nucleotides. RefSeq lists it as uncharacterized. The record is from RefSeq and is a predicted model, not a curated record. The transcript has 2 exons. NCBI's taxonomy places the organism in Eukaryota, Metazoa, Chordata, Crocodylia, Gavialidae.
UUGCACUUGAAAAAAAAUGAGGUUUGGAAAAUUGCAACAUGCUUAAAAUUCCGUUAUACCUUCUGUCUACAGAAAGGGCAAGAACACAGGCAAGUUUGUCAGAUUUGCUUAUGGAAGGAAGGGACAUCACUUCCUCUGCAGAAGGCCUGUGUGGUUGGAGAGGGCAGGACUGUUGGACAACUGUUCUCCUAAUCUUCAACAACAACCUAAAUACUGUGGAAUCCUCCAAACUCAAGAGGAAAGGGUUUGGGGAAACUGUCCAGUAGGAAGGACCCUAGGAGGAGCUGUGCUACCAACAGGACAGAAGGGAACAAAGAAGCCAAGAGCCGGCAUGAAGUUCUUGGUGGGACUAGAAGGGAAAAUGCCAAAAUAUCCUUUGAGAGCCUAUUCUUGCAAGACACAUCAGAGAUCUCAUUAGGAAGCCUGUUCUUGUAAUACUCCUAGCCAAGUUUUGCAGUCUCUGUAAAUCUGAAUGAUGUAAGUAAGUAUGUGAACUUUUGGUACUUAUCUGGUUUUCUCUUAAUCUGUUUGUAAAUAAUCCACACUUCUGUGCUUCUUUCAAAUCCAUCCUAAUCAUGCAGACUUUUAAAAUCUGUCAUUGCACUUUCCAAUUUUGUACCUGCUAUAAGUAGAUAAAAGAGCAAAAAUCUUCUAUAAUGGGUAAAAUUCAGUAUAUCAUUAUUCAUAGUAGAAUUUAGAUCUUAGAUGGAACUAUUUGUCUUUAAAACCUUUUACAAAUAUAUAUGUUGUUGGGACUGUGGAUAAGCUUAUUUUGGUGCUGGUGUAGCAGGUGUUUUUCUUAACCAUUUUUUUUUUUAGGAGAAAUCCCAACUUUAGAGGAAAUGAGCACUCGAUUAUUUAAAUUUCCUGAGAUUAGAGGAAGAACACUUUGCCAAACAAUGCCUCUUCACUUCAAAACCUCUCCUCAUAAAUUAUGUUAGGAGAUCUUAUUAAAAGUCUGUAAAAAUUUCCUAUUAAAAAUGGUUGAUUGCAGUCCAG